This is a long non-coding RNA of Dreissena polymorpha, 2022 nucleotides long. RefSeq lists it as uncharacterized. The record is from RefSeq and is a predicted model, not a curated record. Lineage: Eukaryota; Metazoa; Mollusca; Bivalvia; Myida; Dreissenidae. The transcript has 3 exons.
GGUCUUUUAUAUAAAAAGGCAAUGCCAUCAUAUGUAUAUAACAACACAUUUGAAAUAAAGUCAUCUAUAUUUUAGACAUAAAAUGUGUCAUCUUCAUGUUGUUAAAACAAGUCUUCAUCUUCUACAAACAGUGAAACAAUAAUACAAGACACCUACACCAUCAACGUUCAUAAACUUUUUGUCUUUAACAAGGUAUUUGAAAUUAUAUAGUAGGAGUACAUAACGCUUUUUCAGUGACAAAUGCUAAAUUUUGCAUUUAAACGAACUUUCUUAUAACCGAAUCAAUCAAAGUGCUUGAACUAUUGAUGUAAAUGUCAUAAAUCAAAUAAUGAGCAUUUUUAGAUGCUUGAAAAUGAUGUUCAGGAGAUAUUAUUUAAAAAAUUAAAUGUCUUAGACAUUAAAUGUUUAAGAAGUAUCUCAAAUAUAAUUGUUUUGAUCAGGAAAUUGUGUGAUCAAGUAUGUUUUCAGCUAACACAACUCGAGUUUCUAUGGCAGAAACCUACAUUUCCUGAAUUUCAGGCAACCUCGUCUGGAAAAAAGGAGACGAAUAUACUUGUUUAAUAUUGUGUUCGUAUGAAGGACAGCGAUGCAGUUUUCCCGUCGAUACCUCCACCUCACACUCGUGAUAUGUGCAUACGUCUUCUUACUGGUUGUCACAAGAUGGGCUUUCCUUUCACAGGUGAUGAUGGCAGUAAUAGAAGAUGAUGAGGCUUCAAUACUAAGGACACGACACAUUCAUACCGGAAAUCCUGCCAAGGACAUUAGCUUACACGAGAAACAAGCUAACAAUGCUUUUCAGGUCUCAAGUCAUGGAAAUAUUGAAGAUUUGAGACAACAUAAUCUAGAGCAAGACUUAAAGUUCGAGAAACAUUCCAGGGUAGCGCGAAGGGCGAAGGAACACGUUCUACAGGCCAUUUUUUCGAAUUUUCUACAUCCUUGAAAAUGCCUGAGCACGUCAGAUUUAAGCUACAGAGUUUGAUUACUCGUGUGUGCACAAUAUGGUCGCAAUUAAUGCUCGAAUGCAACUUAACUAUUUUAUUUAUUAUUAAAUUAUUAAAAGUUCAGCUGUUUUUUACUUUGAAUUAAGUGUAUGUUUAUAAUAAGGAAACCACGUAUGCAUUCGAAUAGCUUGCUUAAAAAAAUACAGCCUAGAUAGUGAAAUUUCUCGACAGAAACAUUCUAACUCUACCAGAUUUUACUAUGGUAUACAUAUGAAAUUUUCAUUUUUUCGCAAUGUUCACAAAAUUGCGAAUUUUUCUUAAAAAUCUAAAAAAAAAAAACUAAGAAUACGAUGAUAUGAUCAGUUUGGGUCGUUGCUAUUUUUCCGUUGUAAGAAUAAUGCGACUGUAACAAUGUUAUCUAAUAACAUAUUUAUGGUUCUUUUGAUAUUUCAAAAAUAGCAUAAUGUGUGCUUUCACAUGGUAUUUUCCUCAUAACUAGCAUCAAUUUAAUCAUGUUAAGAUGCUAUUUUUUUCUUCCUUCCACUAAACAUCAAUGUGGUCAUUGUUUAUCCAUUCAUUUUGAUGUCGUACCAUUCUUUUGAAUUCGCUAAAAGCCAAGGAAGCGACCAUUUCUGCCAGCACUGGCAUGUGCUAAAAACUGUAUUACAUUAUCACACACUAGUACCGUGCAAACAGGCACCAUUGUAUAUUCACGGUAUUGAUACUCAAAGCUUUAAAGAACGAAUAGACGUUUACAUCAACUUUAAGCUUAUACGCACUAUGACAUUAGUAACUUUGUUCAAUUUCACGAUGUUUACAUGCUCGUGUUUUCGAUUCUCACUAAAACAUUACUGUGAUUCUAUAGUUACAAAUAAAAGCAAUGAUGUAUAGUUUUAAACGCGUCUAUUAUUGAAAUUUUUAUUUUAUUGUCGUAAGUAUUCUCAAGAUUUAUCAAAAGCCUAGGACGUGACUAUUCCUCUACACGCAGACAUGUACUCAUUAAUGUAUCAUAUCAUUACGUACUGGCACCAGGACAAAUAGUACUAGGGGUAUUAUAUAGUAUGCCCAAUAUCACAUAAUU